This 521-nucleotide ribosomal RNA is filed under the name uncultured Glomeraceae. RNAcentral describes it as "SSU rRNA". It matches the Rfam family "Eukaryotic small subunit ribosomal RNA", at positions 569 to 1092 of the family's 1831-position model. Lineage: Eukaryota; Fungi; Glomeromycota; Glomeromycetes; Glomerales; Glomeraceae. The record is from RNAcentral.
AGCAGCCGCGGUAAUUCCAGCUCCAAUAGCGUAUAUUAAAGUUGUUGCAGUUAAAAAGCUCGUAGUUGAAUUUCGGGAUCAAUACGUCGGUCGUGCUUCGGUACGUACUGGCGUCAUUGGUUUCUCCCUUCUGACGAACCAUGAUGUCAUUAACUUGGUGUCAUGGGAAAUCAGGACUGUUACUUUGAAAAAAUUAGAGUGUUUAAAGCAGGCUCACGCUUGAAUACAUUAGCAUGGAAUAAUGAAAUAGGACGUUCGAUCCUAUUUUGUUGGUUUCUAGGAUUGACGUAAUGAUUAAUAGGGAUAGUUGGGGGCAUUAGUAUUCAAUUGUCAGAGGUGAAAUUCUUGGAUUUAUUGAAGACUAACUACUGCGAAAGCAUUUGCCAAGGAUGUUUUCAUUAAUCAAGAACGAAAGUUAGGGGAUCGAAGACGAUCAGAUACCGUCGUAGUCUUAACCAUAAACUAUGCCGACUAGGGAUCGGAUGAUGUUAAUUUUUUAAUGACUCAUUCGGCGCCUUACG